AUUGAACGCUGGCGGCAUGCCUUACACAUGCAAGUCGAACGGCAGCACGGGUGCUUGCACCUGGUGGCGAGUGGCGAACGGGUGAGUAAUACAUCGGAACAUGUCCUGUAGUGGGGGAUAGCCCGGCGAAAGCCGGAUUAAUACCGCAUACGAUCUACGGAUGAAAGCGGGGGACCUUCGGGCCUCGCGCUAUAGGGUUGGCCGAUUGCUGAUUAGCUAGUUGGUGGGGUAAAGGCCUACCAAGGCGACGAUCAGUAGCUGGUCUGAGAGGACGACCAGCCACACUGGGACUGAGACACGGCACAGACUCCUACGGGAGGCAGCAGUGGGGAAUUUUGGACAAUGGGCGAAAGCCUGAUCCAGCAAUGCCGCGUGUGUGAAGAAGGCCUUCGGGUUGUAAAGCACUUUUGUCCGGAAAGAAAUCCUUGGCUCUAAUACAGUCGGGGGAUGACGGUACCGGAAGAAUAAGCACCGGCUAACUACGUG
RNAcentral lists this ribosomal RNA (486 nucleotides) under uncultured bacterium. RNAcentral's name for it is "partial 16S ribosomal RNA". It matches the Rfam family "Bacterial small subunit ribosomal RNA", at positions 30 to 507 of the family's 1533-position model. The record is from RNAcentral.